CCUACGGGUGGCAGCAGUAGGGAAUUUUGCGCAAUGGGCGAAAGCCUGACGCAGCAACGCCGCGUGAUCGAGACGCCCUUCGGGGUGUAAAGACCUGUCAGUGGGGACGAAACUUCACGGUACCCACAGAGGACUCCCCGGCCAACUCCGUGCCAGCCGCCGCGGUAAUACGGGGGGUGCAGGCGUUGUCCGGAAUCAUCGGGCGUAAAGGGUUCGUAGGCGGCACGUAAAGUCCGGUGUUAAAGGCAGAGGCCCAACUUCUGUACGGCACUGGAUACUUGCGGGCUAGAAUGCGGUAGAGGUAAAGGGAAUUCGUGGUGUAGCGGUGAAAUGCUUAGAUAUCAGGAGGAACAUCGGUGGCGUAAGCGCUUUACUGGGCCGUAAUUGACGCUGAGGAACGAAGGCCAGGGUAGCAAAUGGGAUUAGAUACCCCUGUAGUC
This 440-nucleotide ribosomal RNA is filed under the name uncultured bacterium. Its description in RNAcentral is "partial 16S ribosomal RNA". It matches the Rfam family "Bacterial small subunit ribosomal RNA", at positions 338 to 795 of the family's 1533-position model. The record is from RNAcentral.